RNAcentral lists this transfer RNA (87 nucleotides) under uncultured Clostridium sp. RNAcentral describes it as "tRNA-Tyr(gta)". It matches the Rfam family "tRNA". Rfam says of the family: Transfer RNA (tRNA) molecules are approximately 80 nucleotides in length. Their secondary structure includes four short double-helical elements and three loops (D, anti-codon, and T loops). Further hydrogen bonds mediate the characteristic L-shaped molecular structure. tRNAs have two regions of fundamental functional importance: the anti-codon, which is responsible for specific mRNA codon recognition, and the 3' end, to which the tRNAs corresponding amino acid is attached (by aminoacyl-tRNA synthetases). tRNAs cope with the degeneracy of the genetic code in two manners: having more than one tRNA (with a specific anti-codon) for a particular amino acid; and 'wobble' base-pairing, i.e. permitting non-standard base-pairing at the 3rd anti-codon position. The record is from RNAcentral. RNAcentral also lists the same sequence under 1 other name. Lineage: Bacteria; Bacillati; Bacillota; Clostridia; Eubacteriales; Clostridiaceae.
UCGGUCAUUAUCCCGCUAAGGAGGCGGAGCGGACUGUAAAUCCGCUGUUAUCAUAACACGAGUGGGUUCGAUUCCCUCAUGACCGAG